RNAcentral lists this long non-coding RNA (743 nucleotides) under Homo sapiens (human). RNAcentral describes it as "HSALNT0362813". The record is from RNAcentral. Lineage: Eukaryota; Metazoa; Chordata; Mammalia; Primates; Hominidae.
UCUUCAGAAUUGCUACCCUCUUUUGAACUAUAGUGUUGCUGUUGGUAAUAACAUAAGCAGAGCUGAAUGGGGAGUUCCUAAGCAACCAUCUGAACUCGGGUAUGGAGGUGGGAUUGCACAUGGCAUGUUGGCAGGAGCUUGUAGGAAAGUUGGUCAUUCAGAUUAGAAGAGGGUCAACCACUAAUGCCUCAGUCCGUUACUUUUACAGGCAAUUGAAACUUGUUGUCAUCAAACAAGGUGAAGAGACUGGGCCUUUGAGAAUAAUUGCAUCUCUAUAGAGAAAUCAUGCUUUUACAGAAAAAUUUCUGUAGGAUCUCACCUAUCAGGUCCCUCGUUGGCUGCUCGUCAGAUUUCUCUCUUCAAUUCCAAGCGCAUCUUAUGUAAACAAUAGUGUCUAUGAUAGUGGAUGUGAUUGUGUGCUACCUGGAUCUCCUAGCUGAAAUCCUUCGAAGAAUUUCCUUCAGUCAAUGGGAGCCACCUCCCCUGAGGUUAUGGCUCCAGGUGAAGAUUAAACAGCUGUAGAAGUGUCAUCCAAGAUUGGCCAAUGCUGUUCCUGAGAGUCCUUCCUGGAGAGCCAUCUGCACACAGAUCUCAGUCUCAGAGUCUAUUUCCCAAUGAAUCUAAUCUGAGAGAUCUCUUCAUUUGCUGUUUUUUCCCUGUAUGAAAUAGUUACUUUGUUUUACUUUAUUUUAUUAAGUUCAGUGGUACAUGUGCAGGUGUGUUAUAUAGGUAAAUUGUGUGUC